CAAACGGCUCUUAUAAGAGCCACGCACACGUUAUCAUUGACGUCAACU
This is a non-coding RNA of Gasterosteus aculeatus (three-spined stickleback), 48 nucleotides long. NCBI's taxonomy places the organism in Eukaryota, Metazoa, Chordata, Actinopteri, Perciformes, Gasterosteidae. The record is from Rfam.